RNAcentral lists this ribosomal RNA (253 nucleotides) under uncultured bacterium. RNAcentral's name for it is "partial 16S ribosomal RNA". It matches the Rfam family "Bacterial small subunit ribosomal RNA", at positions 524 to 776 of the family's 1533-position model. The record is from RNAcentral.
UACGUAGGGUGCGAGCGUUAAUCGGAAUUACUGGGCGUAAAGCGUGCGCAGGCGGUUUUGUAAGCCAGAUGUGAAAGCCCCGGGCUUAACCUGGGAAUGGCAUUUGGGACUGCAUAGCUAGAGUACGGUAGAGGGGGAUGGAAUUCCGCGUGUAGCAGUGAAAUGCGUAGAUAUCCGGAGGAACACCGGUGGCGAAGGCGGCUUCCUGGACCGACACUGACGCUGAGGCGCGAAAGCUAGGGGAGCAAACGGG